UAAUAAGUGUUUUAUGGCACUUUUUUUAAAUCCAUAUCCACCUUGUGUGCAAUGUCAGUCGAUCUUCUUCAUGGAGAUCGACCAAACAUCAACCUUUAUUUUUUAACUCUUUGUCUGAAAAAAUAUUAUGAAUGAACAAUUCAGAAUA
Molecule: unclassified non-coding RNA, 148 nt
Filed under: soil metagenome
Description: partial internal transcribed spacer 1
Source: RNAcentral